Molecule: ribosomal RNA, 805 nt
Filed under: uncultured bacterium
Lineage: Bacteria
Description: bacterial SSU rRNA
Rfam family: Bacterial small subunit ribosomal RNA
Source: RNAcentral
AGAGUUUGAUCCUGGCUCAGGACGAACGCUGGCGGCAUGCCUAAUACAUGCAAGUCGAACGAGCUGACAGAGUGCUUGCACUCUCGACGCGAGUGGCGGACGGGUGAGUAACACGUGGGAAACCUACCUGUAAGUAGGGGAUAACAUUCGGAAACGGAUGCUAAUACCCUAUAGGUUUCAGUUCCGCAUGGAACUGAAAGGAAAGACGGCUUUGCUGUCGCUUACAGAUGGUCCCGCGGCGCAUUAGCUAGUUGGUGGGAUAAAAGCUCACCAAGGCUGUGAUGCGUAGCCGACCUGAGAGGGUAACCGGCCACACUGGGACUGAGACACGGCCCAGACUCCUACGGGAGGCAGCAGUAGGGAAUCUUCCGCAAUGGACGCAAGUCUGACGGAGCAAUGCCGCGUGAAUGAAGAAGGUCUUCGGAUCGUAAAAUUCUGUUGUUAGAGAAGAAUAAGGAGUAGGUAACUACUACUCCCUUGACGGUAUCUAACCAGAAAGCCACGGCUAACUACGCGCCAGCAGCCGCGGUAAUACGUAGGUGGCAAGCGUUGUCCGGAUUUAUUGGGCGUAAAGGGAGCGCAGGCGGUGACUUAAGUCUGAUGUGAAAGCCCACGGCUCAACCGUGGAAGGUCAUUGGAAACUGGGUCACUUGAAUAUAGAAGAGGAAAGUGGAAUUCCAUGUGUAGCGGUGAAAUGCGUAGAUAUAUGGAGGAACACCAGUGGCGAAGGCGACUUUCUGGUCUAUUAUUGACGCUGAGGCUCGAAAGCAUGGGUAGCAAACAGGAUUAGAUACCCUGGUAGUCC